GGGUGGUAAUGCCGGAUGCUCCAGUUGAUCGCAUGGUCUUCUGGGAAAGCUUUCGCGGUAUGGGAUGGGGUCGCGUCCUAUCAGCUUGACGGCGGGGUAACGGCCCACCGUGGCUUCGACGGGUAGCCGGCCUGAGAGGGCGACCGGCCACAUUGGGACUGAGAUACGGCCCAGACUCCUACGGGAGGCAGCAGUGGGGAAUAUUGCACAAUGGGCGCAAGCCUGAUGCAGCGACGCCGCGUGAGGGAUGGAGGCCUUCGGGUUGUAAACCUCUUUUAUCGGGGAGCAAGCGAGAGUGAGUUUACCCGUUGAAUAAGCACCGGCUAACUACGUGCCAGCAGCCGCGGUAAUACGUAGGGUGCAAGCGUUAUCCGGAAUUAUUGGGCGUAAAGGGCUCGUAGGCGGUUCGUCGCGUCCGGUGUGAAAGUCCAUCGCUUAACGGUGGAUCCGCGCCGGGUACGGGCGGGCUUGAGUGCGGUAGGGGAGACUGGAAUUCCCGGUGUAACGGUGGAAUGUGUAGAUAUCGGAAAAGAAACACC
RNAcentral lists this ribosomal RNA (539 nucleotides) under Bifidobacterium longum subsp. suillum. RNAcentral describes it as "bacterial SSU rRNA". It matches the Rfam family "Bacterial small subunit ribosomal RNA", at positions 158 to 710 of the family's 1533-position model. Lineage: Bacteria; Bacillati; Actinomycetota; Actinomycetes; Bifidobacteriales; Bifidobacteriaceae. The record is from RNAcentral.